RNAcentral lists this ribosomal RNA (376 nucleotides) under uncultured cyanobacterium. RNAcentral's name for it is "bacterial SSU rRNA". It matches the Rfam family "Bacterial small subunit ribosomal RNA", at positions 376 to 770 of the family's 1533-position model. The record is from RNAcentral. Lineage: Bacteria; Bacillati; Cyanobacteriota.
CGCAAGCCUGACGGAGCAACGCCGCGUGUGGGAAGAAGGCUCUUGGGCUGUCAACCACUUUUCUCAGGGAAGAAGCCCUGACGGUACCUGAGGAAUCAGCCUCGGCUAACUCCGUGCCAGCCGCGGUAAGACGGAGGAGGCAAGCGUUAUCCGGAAUUAUUGGGCGUAAAGCGUCCGCAGGCGGCUAGUUAAGUCUGUUGUUAAAGCCCACAGCUCAACUGUGGAUCGGCAAUGGAAACUGAAUAACUUGAGAGCGGUAGGGGUAGAGGGAAUUCCCGGUGUAGCGGUGAAAUGCGUAGAUAUCGGGAAGAACACCAGUGGCGAAGGCGCUCUACUGGGCCGCAACUGACGCUGAGGGACGAAAGCUAGGGGAGCG